CACCACUUAGUAACACUAGCCAUGUAAACAGUUAACACUGCCCUACAUAUGUCAAGGUCAGAGGGCACCACUUAGUAACACCAGCCAUGUAAACAGUUAACACUGCCCUACAUAUGUCAAGGUCAGAGGGCACCACUUAGUAACACCAGCCAUGUAAACAGUUAACACUGCCCUACAUAUGUCAAGGUCAGAGGGCACCACUUAGUAACACCAGCCAUGUAAACAGUUAACACUGCCCUACAUAUGUCAAGG
This is a long non-coding RNA of Oncorhynchus keta (chum salmon), 252 nucleotides long. RefSeq lists it as uncharacterized. The transcript has 3 exons. The record is from RefSeq and is a predicted model, not a curated record. Lineage: Eukaryota; Metazoa; Chordata; Actinopteri; Salmoniformes; Salmonidae.